CCCCCCUAGUAGAAACGUCGCGACCCGUUGGGUGCCGGUCUUAGGCCCAGGGAGUAAGUCCGUGCGUCCUGUGGGGGUUCUCACAGGCGUGUGGAACCCUGGUGACCGGGCCGGCUGCUCGACGGUAUGACCAGAGGAGUCGAUCCGCUGAAUGUGAAACACUUUGGUUGUGUAGCGUCCGGCCCAUCUGCCGAUGCAUAUGCAGUUGUCACCCGUGUAGAGCAUGGGUUGCACUGUGUCUUCGGAUUUGGUGUCCUCGGACCGGAUCAGCACUCCCGUCUGCGACGCCCACCUUCGGA
RNAcentral lists this ribosomal RNA (299 nucleotides) under Candovia aberrata. RNAcentral's name for it is "partial large subunit ribosomal RNA". The record is from RNAcentral. Lineage: Eukaryota; Metazoa; Arthropoda; Insecta; Phasmatodea; Lonchodidae.